GGUAGUCCACGCCNUAAACGAUGUCGAUUAGCUGUNGGGCAGCAUGACUGCUUAGUAGCGAAGCUAACGCGUGAAAUCGACCGCCUGGGGAGUACGGUCGCAAGAUUAAAACUCAAAGGAAUUGACGGGGACCCGCACAAGCGGUGGAUGAUGUGGAUUAAUUCGAUGCAACGCGAAGAACCUUACCUGGUCUUGACAUGUACGGAACCCUCCAGAGACGGAGGAGUGCCUUCGGGAGCCGUAACACAGGUGCUGCAUGGCUGUCGUCAGCUCGUGUCGUGAGAUGUUGGGUUGAGUCCCGCAACGAGCGCAACCCUUGUCAUUAGUUGCCAUCAUUAAGUUGGGCACUCUAAUGAGACUGCCGGUGACAAGCCGGAGGAAGGUGGGGAUGACGUCAAGUCCUCAUGGCCCUUAUGACCAGGGCUUCACACGUCGUACAAUGGUCGGUACAGAGGGUAGCCAAGCCGCGAGGCGGAGCCAAUCUCACAAAACCGAUCGUAGUCCGGAUUGCACUCUGCAACUCGAGUGCAUGAAGUCGGAAUCGCUAGUAAUCGCAGGUCAGCAUACUGCGGUGAAUACGUUCCCGGGUCUUG
Molecule: ribosomal RNA, 593 nt
Filed under: uncultured bacterium
Lineage: Bacteria
Description: bacterial SSU rRNA
Rfam family: Bacterial small subunit ribosomal RNA
Source: RNAcentral